UACAUUUCUAUCUUUAUUACCCAAUUAUAAAUUCACAGUACAAAUUGUGUGGUAUUAUGCUUGUUUCUUUUUAACAAACUAACACUCCAAUGACUUGGUGAAAUAUUUAUAUUUUAACAAGUGUUUAUAUGAAACUUACAAAUGUAAAAAUCUACUUCUAUCCUAGAAAACAAGCAAACUGAAAUGAUGAAUGAAAAAUCUGACCCAAAUCUAAAGUGCAUUUUUAAAAUUGAUAUUACAACAAGAUAAAGUCAAUAACAAAACACCAAAAAACUAAAACAACUAAGGCAGCAACCAUUUGAUUUUCUGGGGGGGGCUAUGGUUUUUUUUUCUGUGCAAACUUUUUUUUUCGCCUGCGGCGAAAAACAAUCUAUUUUUUUCGCGAGAAGUCGAAAACUAUUUUUUUCUUUCAAUUUUAGCAUUACAUAUAGUGGCAGCUGGGGGUGAAACAAACAAUUUUUUUUUCUCAGAAUCAAAAACAAAUUAUUUUUUUCUCCAAAAACUGGAAACAAACUUUUUUUCCCAAAAAAAACCAUAGCCCCCCCCCAGAAAAUCAAAUGGUUGCUGCCUAACAAUUUCAAGUUUUCCACAAAAUCUUGUAGAAAUAAAUUAAUAAUGGAUUUAUUUCAAAGUAUAAAUCAAUUUCAAAAGGGACACACUGUUGUCAGUAGACAAACUAUGGAUAUGGAGAUACCAGAAGAUGUGGUAUAAGCGCCAAUGAGACAACUCUUCAUCCAAGUCACAAUAUAAGUAAAAGUAAAGACACAAAUUUUACCAUUGCAUUCAAUAAGAAAUAAUGUUUUGUUUUAUAGAUGAGUGUUAAAAUACAUGUAUGUCUCCUAGUCUUUUAAGUAACUAAAUAGUUUACAUUUAACUCUAGUCACUUUUAAACUUCAAGCAGAUAUGGCUAAAUAAAAUAAAUAACCCAACUUCUAAAAUACUCUAUGGAAAAUAUG
This 956-nucleotide long non-coding RNA is filed under the name Mytilus galloprovincialis (Mediterranean mussel). The record is from RNAcentral. Lineage: Eukaryota; Metazoa; Mollusca; Bivalvia; Mytilida; Mytilidae.